CUUUCAUCACUUGCUCCGGUAUCAGCUCAGGUGGUGUGUUCCAUCGUCGUUCGUCCUCCUCCGUGAGAAAAAUUCGAUCAUCUGUGGAACGAAGCUUUAUGUGACACGUAUCUUAUCUACGAUCCCAGGUUAGUCCAAGCAAGUGAUUUUUACCUGCCCACGCGACCACCAACACAACAAAACACAACGGCACAACACAACGAUGAAAGAUGAUGCUCCCGGCCAUCUCUAAGACCGUUCUGGCUCGAGCACGACCAUUCUCCGCCCUUUUUCAAUAAGUAUGAACGACCUUAAAAUCCUUAUUGGCAUUCGUCUCGCGUCCACUCACGUAAUACUCUUGGACGGAGGAAUGGAGUUACGAUCACGCGGUGACUCGUACAGAGAGAAAUGGGAUUAUCGAGGAACGAUCGUUAAUUUCGUAUAAAAUUAUUUCGCGGGUAUUUAAAUUUAUCCUCAUAUUUAUUUGUACAAUGCAAUCAUACGAAUCUCGUAUUCUUUUUUCGUUUUGUAUUUGUCGAAUCACGAUACUUGAGAAUUUUCUAAUUAUUUUAAUUUCUAGUCGAAUAUUUCUAUAUUUCUUCAAAACAAUGAAUUACGUUUCUGGUCUUUCCUGACUUCAUAUUUUUCUCCAAUGAUCGAUCGAUUUCAAAUUAAGUUUUUAAUUAAGUGACAAACGAUAUUUCCAUAUUUUUUUUUUUUUUUUUUUUUUUUUACCGUUGUGUACAGGUUUAAAAUAUUUCAAACACGUGUUUCUACGGUAUAUAUUAUCAGUAUAAUUAAUGUGAGUGAAUCAUUGAAUAUUCACCAAGUAUUGAAUGGAAUAUAUUAUAAUGUUCAAUCGUAGGAAAAUAUACGGUAAAUCAUACGAGGCAAUCAAUAUUACGUCUCGUAAUAAUGAAACGAUGAAAAUAAAUAUUUUCCUCGGAUUUUAAUCAAUUAUUAUACGUGAAUGAUUCACGUUUCUCGUUCUUUCAAUGAACAUCUCGAUUUGAUCACAAUUUGUUAUUGCAUUUCUCAGAACUUUUAAAUACGUCACAAAAUUUUUAUCAAUUAAUUUUUCAAUAAUUUCAAUAUUUCGAACGCGUGUAAUGUUGAUUCAACGGAAGAAUUUACAAAAUAACAUAACGAAACGUUGUGAAUCGAAUCAACAAUACGAUAAGUUAAUUACAGGAGAAUGCUAGUUUGAGAAUCACUGUGCCCCUGCUGCUCGAGUUGCCCUACAUUCGUUCGCGUAGGAUGGUUUGCCAGCAGCCAGGGGUAAUCGCCGACUUUUCGGUAACCGAGAAACAACCAAGAUUGAAUUUUUUGAACGUUCGAGCAAAAAUUCUUCAAAAUUCUUAUUUCACUUGCUUUUUCGCAUCGAAAGCUUGACAAGCAUUUGACAUAGAGUCGAGCAUUGAAAGUAAGAUUAAAGAUUAAAAAUUUUCGUGAAAACCUCGUUUAAGUAAAUUUUUCAAGCAACUUAUCGAGGUGACCGUUAAAUUUUAUCGAUCGCGUCCACUGAAGAACGGACGGCGAGCAAUCCUUCGGAAGAAUAAACAAAGUUUUUUCCGCGCAAACGUGUUAUCGGCCUGGACGGUGCGAAAUAACGAGGAUACGCACAAUACGAGUCGACAACUGGCACGUGAUUCAUUCGUAUUGGGCCAGCAGCAAGUUUACACAGCGUCUUGACAUUGAACUCGAGCUGUGGACGAGUACUUUGCCUUCGAGCAACGAUUAUGGACGGACUCUGUAAAAGGGAACGAGCCUCUGGUGUCUGAAAAGCAAAGCGUCUGAAAGAUUAAUACGCAGAAGCAAUCGUUUCGCGAUGUGGAAGAAUAUUUCUCAAGAAAUCUUUCGAAUUUCAUCGAAUUUCAUCGAAAAUUUCCGUUAUUCUUUCCAAGCUCGCCCAGCUAAUAAAAUAAUCGAAUCCUUGGAAUCAAUAAACCAGUAAUUCUCCGUGCAUCUUUCUACGAAAGUUGACGAUAAAGAAAAAGAAGAGGACGAGGAGGAGGAGGAGGAGGGAGAAGAAAAUGGAAGACGUACAAUUGCCCGAUUAUCUUCGAUCAAUUGUUAGAUCGUGUACAACAGGAUAGGAAAAGAAAGGAAGAGGAUAAACGAUAUUUAAUUAA
This 2111-nucleotide long non-coding RNA is filed under the name Apis mellifera (honey bee). RNAcentral describes it as "uncharacterized LOC102655465, transcript variant X2". Lineage: Eukaryota; Metazoa; Arthropoda; Insecta; Hymenoptera; Apidae. The record is from RNAcentral.